UACGUAGGGUGCAAGCGUUAAUCGGAAUUACUGGGCGUAAAGCGUGCGCAGGCGGUUAUGCAAGACAGAUGUGAAAUCCCCGGGCUCAACCUGGGAACUGCAUUUGUGACUGCAUGGCUAGAGUACGGUAGAGGGGGAUGGAAUUCCGCGUGUAGCAGUGAAAUGCGUAGAUAUGCGGAGGAACACCGAUGGCGAAGGCAAUCCCCUGGACCUGUACUGACGCUCAUGCACGAAAGCGUGGGGAGCAAAC
RNAcentral lists this ribosomal RNA (250 nucleotides) under uncultured bacterium. RNAcentral's name for it is "partial 16S ribosomal RNA". It matches the Rfam family "Bacterial small subunit ribosomal RNA", at positions 524 to 773 of the family's 1533-position model. RNAcentral also lists the same sequence under 1 other name. The record is from RNAcentral.